GACGAACGCUGGCGGCGUGCUUAACACAUGCAAGUCGAGCGGUAAGGCCCUUUCGGGGGUAUACGAGCGGCGAACGGGUGAGUAACACAUGAGCAACCUGCCCUUCUCUUUGGAAUAAGCGUUGGAAACGACGUCUAAUGCCGAAUAUGACCCCCUGUCGCAUGGUGGGGGGUGGAAAGCUCUGGCGGAGAAGGAUGGGCUCGCGGCCUAUCAGCUUGUUGGUGGGGGUAAUGGCCCACCAAGGCGACGACGGGUGGCCGGCCUGAGAGGGUGACCGGCCACACUGGGACUGAGACACGGCCCAGACUCCUAGGGGGGGCAGCAGUGGGGAAUAUUGGACAAUGGGCGAAAGCCUGAUCCAGCAACGCCGCGUGAGGGAUGACGGCCUUCGGGUUGUAAACCUCUUUCAGCAGGGACGAAGCGAGAGUGACGGUACCUGCAGAAGAAGGACCGGCCAACUACGUGCCAGCCGCCGCCGUAA
RNAcentral lists this ribosomal RNA (481 nucleotides) under uncultured bacterium. RNAcentral's name for it is "partial 16S ribosomal RNA". It matches the Rfam family "Bacterial small subunit ribosomal RNA", at positions 28 to 523 of the family's 1533-position model. The record is from RNAcentral.